CGCAUCAUCAACACCUUCAGUGUGGUGCCUUCACCCAAAGUGUCUGACACCGUGGUCGAGCCCUACAAUGCCACCCUCUCCGUCCAUCAGUUGGUAGAGAACACUGAUGAGACCUAUUGCAUUGACAAUGAGGCCCUCUAUGACAUCUGCUUCCGCACUCUGAAGCUGACCACACCAGCCUACGGGGAUCUGAACCACCUCAUCUCAGCCACCAUGAGCGGUGUCACCACCUGCCCCCGCUUCCCUGGCCAGCUCAAUGCUGACCUCCGCAAGUUAGCUGUUAACAUGGUCCCCUUCCCACGUCUCCAUUUCUUUAUGCCUGGCUUUGCCCCUCUCACCAGCCGUGGAAGCCAGCAGUGUCGAGCUCUCACAGUGCCCGAACUCACCCAGCAGGUCUUCGAUGCCAAGAACAUGAUGGCUGCCUGUGACCCCUGCCACGGUGGGUACCUCACCGUGGCUGCUGUCUUCCUUGAUCGGAUGUCCAUCAAGGAGGCCGAUGAGCAGAUGCUUAAUGUGCAGAACAAGAACAGCAGCUACUUUGUGGAAUGGAUCCCAAACAAUGUCAAGAGGGCCAUCUGUGACAUCCCACCUCGUGGCCUCAAGAUGGUUGUCACUUUCAUUGGCAACAGCACAGCCAUCCAGGAGCUCUUCAAGCACAUCUCAGAGCAGUUCACUGCCAUGUUCCGCCGGAACGCCUUCCUUCAUUGGUAUACAGGUGAGGGCAUGGAUGAGAUAGAUUCACUGAGGCUGAGAGCAACAUGAAUGACCUCGUCUCCGAGUGUCAGCAGUACCAGGAUGCCCCUGCAGAAGAGGAGGAGGAUUUCGGUGAAGAGGCUGAAGAGGAGACCUAAGGCAGAGCCCCCAUCACUUCAGGCUCCUCAGUUCCCUUAGCUGUCUUACUCAACUGCCCCUUUCCUCUCCCGCAGAAUUUGUGUUUGCUGCCUCUAUCUUUUUUUUUUGCUUUGUUUUCUUCUGGGGAGUCUAGAAUAGUGCCUAGCACAUAGUAGGUGCUCAAUAAAUACUUGUUUGUUGAAUGUCUCCUCUCUCUUUCCACUCUGGGAAACCUAGGUUUCUGCCAUUCUCGGUGACCCUGUAUUUCCUUCGGGUGCCCAUUCCUUCCAUCUGUCCAGUUAAUAUUACCCUUUUAAAAAUCUCCAAGAAGCUGGAUCUCUUCCAGAUCCCAUCUAGAACCAACCAGGUGCUGAAAACAUAUGUAGAUAAUGGUAACCAUCUGAAGUGCAAAGUAGAAAAUGGUAGAAGGUAGUGGGGUAGAAGUCACUGUAAGGAAGGGGAUGGGAUUUUCCAUUCUAAAAGUUUUGGAGAGGGAAAUCCAAGCUAUUAAAAGUCAUUAAUUUCUAGGUAUUUCCAUUUCCCAUCUCAGCU
This is an RNA transcript of Cebus imitator (Panamanian white-faced capuchin), 1383 nucleotides long. It is a transcript of the gene named tubulin beta chain-like, with no coding region annotated. The transcript has a single exon. Lineage: Eukaryota; Metazoa; Chordata; Mammalia; Primates; Cebidae. The record is from RefSeq and is a predicted model, not a curated record.